CGGGAUGUGGCGCAGCUUGGUUAGCGCGCCUGCUUUGGGAGCAGGAGGCCGCGGGUUCGAAUCCCGCCAUCCCGA
Molecule: transfer RNA, 75 nt
Filed under: Streptosporangiaceae bacterium
Lineage: Bacteria; Bacillati; Actinomycetota; Actinomycetes; Streptosporangiales; Streptosporangiaceae
Also listed under: 2 other names
Description: tRNA-Pro
Rfam family: tRNA
About the family: Transfer RNA (tRNA) molecules are approximately 80 nucleotides in length.
Source: RNAcentral